GAAUGCGUCUCGGUCAAAGCUCAUCCUUGUGGUGUGGCUGGACUGGCGUUUCCUAUCUUCCGAUAGUGGGGUCAAACUCGCUUCGGAUCGUUUACUUUGAAAAAAUUAGAGUGUUCAAAGCAGGCGUAACCUUGCCAUUGAAUAUUACAGCAUGGGAUAAUAGAAUAUGACGUUGGUCUUAUUUUGUUGGUUUCUAAGGCUGAUGUA
Molecule: ribosomal RNA, 207 nt
Filed under: uncultured fungus
Lineage: Eukaryota; Fungi
Description: partial small subunit ribosomal RNA
Rfam family: Eukaryotic small subunit ribosomal RNA (bases 82-207)
Source: RNAcentral